GAUGAACGCUGGCGGCGUGCCUAAUACAUGCAAGUAGAACGCUGAAGGAAGGAGCUUGCUCUUUCCGGGUGAGUUGCGAACGGGUGAGUAACGCGUAGGUAACCUGCCUGGUAGCGGGGGAUAACUAUUGGAAACGAUAGCUAAUACCGCAUAACAGUAGAUGUUGCAUGAUAUCUACUUAAAAGGUGCAAUUGCACCACUACCAGAUGGACCUGCGUUGUAUUAGCUAGUUGGUGAGGUAACGGCUCACCAAGGCGACGAGACAUAGCCGACCUGGGAGGCUGGUCGGCCGCACGGGGACUGGGCCACGGCCCAUGCUCCUGAGGGAGGCAGCAGUAGGGAACCUUCGGCAAUGGACGGAAGUCUUACCGAGCAACGCCGCGUGAGUGGAGGAGGUUUUCGGAUCGUAAAGCUCUGUUGUAAGAGAAGAACGAGUGUGAGAGUGGAAAGUUCACACUGUGACGGUAUCUUACCAGAAAGGGCCGGCUAACUACGUG
Molecule: ribosomal RNA, 497 nt
Filed under: uncultured bacterium
Lineage: Bacteria
Description: partial 16S ribosomal RNA
Rfam family: Bacterial small subunit ribosomal RNA
Source: RNAcentral